This 1598-nucleotide long non-coding RNA is filed under the name Heterocephalus glaber (naked mole-rat). RNAcentral describes it as "lncRNA (ENSHGLG00000046965.1)". Lineage: Eukaryota; Metazoa; Chordata; Mammalia; Rodentia; Bathyergidae. The record is from RNAcentral.
UUCACGGCAGAGAACCUCACUCAGCCUUGAAAAGGAGGCACAUUCCGAUACCUGUGAUGGCAUGGAUGGACCUGGAGCACAUCGUGCCAAGAGAGAAGCUGGUCACAAGGGGACAGAUACUGCCCAGGCCCACUUCUAGGAGGCCCGAGCUGGGUGACGUGACAGCUACACAGCAGUGUGCACAGCGCCGCUGAACUCCCCUAGGAAUGGUCACGUGAUGAACCUAUGUGUACUUGACCACAGUUUUUGAAAGUAAUACGUAUGGUGGGUGUGCCUGCCCAGACCCAGGGAAAACACUCCAGGCUCGUUCUGGUUGCUGUCACUGAAGAAAACCGUGCCUCACAAGGACAGGAAUCAGACAUGGAAGCAGGCUUGUCAGUGCUUCUGUGACACUCAGGAUGCGCUAGCUUGACUUGGCGCAGAACAUACGGAAAUCUGAAGUUGUCACCUUUUACAGUCUCACACAGUGGGUUCUCCUCUAGCACGGACAAAAUCAGCUCACGUAGCUUGUUCGUAAGUGGGCCACGGACCCUUCCUUCCGGUCGGUGUCUUUUGAAAGCUGUUAGCCCAUGGUCUCCGAGCUGGGAGAAAGAAUGCCUAGGUCCUGUUAAAGUCCCUGCUGAUGUCUGGCACACAUCAGUGACCCAGUGUCACUCAUCGCUCAUAAUCCCAGCUUGGCUUCGCCGCAGCCACUGUCUGCCGACUGGGCACAGCAGUUGUUCCCCCUGAAGUGAGAGGUUGAGUUCACUGAGCAGGCUGAAUAUGUCACACAGGUAAGCAAGAUUUGUGACCCAUUCUGCAUCACCGAAAUGUGCUGCCGGUGGUGACUCUUUCUAAAAGUCGUCUCUGGAGGGCCGAGGAUUUAGCUCAGCGGUUCCGGCGCCUGCCUCGCAAGCACAAGGUCCCGAGUUCAAUCCCCGGUACCAAAAAAAAAGUCAUCUCUGGAGCAGCUCUCAGAUCCGCAGCCCUCUCACCACUGUGUGUAAGAGAACACGUAUGUGCUCUGUGUCCAUCUUCUCUCACGGCUGUGUGAAUGACCCGAGCUAAGGGCAUGCACUGGACUGUGCUUGAUAGUCACAUCCUGCAGAACACUGUUAAGUUCAGGUGACAUUUUUCAGCUAGCCAGCACUUCUCCAUGGAUGACAUUCAGAAGCAGCCUUUGACCCGAGUAGUCAAACCAGAAAUCGUCCACUCUUUGCUCGGUCUGUGCACCUGACCAAGUCAGUGUUUGUGAAGUGCAGUUCGGGUGGUCUUAGUUGGUAACAAAGGUCCACAUAGCAUAUCCUCAUGCACAUCCUCCUGAAAAAUAAAUCAUACAGAGCAAGCGUUGAUGCCUUGUUGCCAGCUUCCGUAGACGCAUCCUUCUGUCUGUGUACCUUGGUGCACCAUCUAGUCAUGGUGCUAGCCGACAGAGGAGCACGGGCCGCUGGUUGUACCGCACCUGCCCUACAAGUUCAUGACAAGGUCCUCAGCAGCAACUGGGGCACCUUCACCUGUGGAAGGGCUCCUCAGCUUUGGCGGUGCUGUGAGCCACUGAGAGGGAGGCCCACACACCAGCUGAAGCAAUGGCCUGCAGUCACUGGUUCUGUCCUUCGUGG